Non-coding RNA from Odocoileus virginianus texanus, 2129 nucleotides. Lineage: Eukaryota; Metazoa; Chordata; Mammalia; Artiodactyla; Cervidae. The record is from RefSeq and is a predicted model, not a curated record.
GGAAGUCCCUACAAACCAUAUUAAAUGCUAUGUGAAUUAUAUCUCAAAUCUGCUAUUAAAAAAAGAAGCACAGCUACCAGUUCUUAAAAUAUGAACCUUAUAUAAAUCAUGGUUUUUAAAAAAUGUCAUAAAUAUCAUGAGAUAACACGAAAAAAGAAUGUUUGACUUGAUGUUUGAUUACAUUAAGAAAUUAUGAGAGAUAUAUACCUUUUCUUUUAGUAGGACAUAAUUUAAAAAAUUUACAAGUGAUAUGAUGUCUGGGAUUUGCUUCAAUUAAUAGUGCAAAGGAGAGGUGAUAAUCCAAACAAAACUAAGUUGCCCAGGUCUUGAUAACUGUUGAAGGUAUACUGAGUCUGCUAUAUUAUUCUCCCUACCUCAGAUGGGGAGCCCUGCAGGGCUAUGUGACCUCAGGCAGUCCUGACCCUCUGUGCCUCAGGGUGCAGAGAGGUAUUCAAUCAGGCUCCCAAUUCCUGUGGUGCUAUCCCCACUGGUUCCCACCUCCCUGGCGCCUUUCUUCCUGCAGGCUCAGGUUCUGUCUGCAGAAUUUGGCAAAUCUGAGCCUGGUUUCAUAAAAAGAAGUGUUUUUUUUUUUUUUUUAAAGAAAGAAAACAAAAAGCAGCCUCACAUGACUGUACUACCCUAUACCUAUUAGAUUUACAUGGAUUAACAUGCUUGAUGACACACAGGGUGGGUGAGGCCAGAGUCAGCAGCUAUUCUCACGCUCCACAGAGGGCAACUGAGCAAUGCCUUUUCAAGUCAGAAGACCCACCAUUCUCCCAAGGAACAUGCUGCUCUCUAGUUCCUGGUGGGAUGUAAUGUCUAUCCAUGUAAUUCACUGCCUCCACCAGCCUCUAAUGCUUGUUGUUCGUUAUAGCAAAGGACAAAACCUGCUAAAAUGUUCCUGACCAGAGGCUGGUUACGUUGAGGAUGCUUACUUCUUGAAGAGAAGUCCUUACAUUAAAAAGUAUGAAGAAGUUCUACCACGAUGGGGUGUGGAGGUCACUCCUGGGGUCAGGAACAGGGACCAGAAAGGGAGGCAAUGGGUGACCAUUUAGGUGAAAACCAAGGAUGCAUGCACACACCCAUUCUUGGGUGAACUCCUGGGCAGUGUGUGGAAAGCACUGGAGACCUAGAUGGUCCCUGUCGAAAAGCUAGGACUGGGUAGGACAGUAGAGGGACAGACCCAUCACCUGUACUUAUCAAUUCUUCUCCUCUGAAAGUGGGUCCAACCCAACACAGCAACAUUUUUAAAAAGGAGCCUCAGUCGAGCUUAGCAGAUUGUGGAUCUGGAAGAUUCCGGGGACCUCCUAGAGCCUGGUCAGCAAGGGGUUAAGGGUGGAAGCCCAGUGGAGUGGGCCACGGGGGGAGUCAUGAGUGUGGACCCUUCCUGGGCAGAUUGGACUGGGAGUGGACAAGAUAGCCAAGUGUCACAGGCAGAGAACCUCUGAAUUACUGGAUCAUAGUGUUCAGGAGCAGGCACAGGAGCUGGGGCUGUGCCCGGGUACUGUGCCCACAUAGCCUAAGCUACUUAUCAGUAAAAGCCACUGAUAAGGGCUGGCACAAAGAGCAAUUACCUUUGCCCUGAAGGCCAAGGCAUACCCUCACCAAGGGUGGGUGCACGGGGUGAAGAGGAUGUGGUAGUCUCUCCUGCCAGAUGUGGCUGCUGGGGAUGGGGGCCUCCGUAGCCUGAGCCAGUAACCUUGCCUACAGCUCGGUGGAGAGAGGCUCAGAGGCUGUCAAGACGUCCCACGGACAAGGGUGCAACGCUCAGAGCCAAACGGUGGCAGGAAGAAUUUGUCCAAGUCCUACCCCGGUCCCUACGUCGCCCUGCGCGGGAGCCUCACCCUGGCCCGGGACGAGGAGAAGCAAGAACCCAAAGACCACGGAACUCAGACGCAAGCGAGGCCCGUCCGGCUUCAUCGUGAGUUCAAAAGUCUUUUCUGCACUACCGGCGGGCACGCGGCUUUUCAUCAACAGGCUGCGCAGGGACUCGACCAGUCAGUGCCUCGCCCAGGCCAGGAGUUUGGCCUGGGUAGGGCGUAGGCGGGAACAAAGGUAUCGAUUUCCUGGGUUCACCUUCAUCCCCUUAUUGUCUCUGGUCUGAGAGUCUCCGUGAGCCCCCCGCCCUA